RNAcentral lists this ribosomal RNA (463 nucleotides) under uncultured bacterium. Its description in RNAcentral is "partial 16S ribosomal RNA". It matches the Rfam family "Bacterial small subunit ribosomal RNA", at positions 338 to 795 of the family's 1533-position model. The record is from RNAcentral.
CCUACGGGGGGCAGCAGUAGGGAAUCUUCCACAAUGGGAAAGCCUGAUGGAGCAACGCCGCGUGGGUGAAGAAGGUCUUCGGAUCGUAAAACCCUGUUGUUAGAGAAGAAAGUGCGUGAGCGUAACUGUUCACGUUUCGACGGUAUCUAACCAGAAAGCCACGGCUAACUACGUGCCAGCAGCCGCGGUAAUACGUAGGUGGCAAGCGUUAUCCGGAUUUAUUGGGCGUAAAGGGAACGCAGGCGGUCUUUUAAGUCUGAUGUGAAAGCCUUCGGCUUAACCGGAGUAGUGCAUUGGAAACUGGGAGACUUGAGUGCAGAAGAGGAGGGUGGAACUCCAUGUGUAGCGGUGAAAUGCGUAGAUAUAUGGAAGAACACCAGUGGCGAAGGCGGCUCUCUGGUCUGUAACUGACGCUGAGGUUCGAAAGCGUGGGUAGCAAACAGGAUUAGAUACCCGAGUAGUC